GAUGAACGCUGGCGGCGUGCUUAACACAUGCAAGUCGAACGCAGUGCUUUAGCUUCGGUUGAGGCAGCUGCGUGGCGGACGGGUGCGUAACACGUAGGAACUUGCCCCAGAGAGGGGGAUAACCGUUGGAAACGACGGAUAAUCCCGCAUACGCUCCUUCGGGAGAAAAGCUCCGGCGCUCUGGGAUGGGCCUGCGGCCUAUCAGGUAGUUGGUGGGGUAAUGGCCUACCAAGCCUACGACGGGUAGGGGGCGUGAGAGCGUGGCCCCCCACACGGGAACUGAGACACGGUCCCGACGCCUACGGGCGGCAGCAGUGAGGAAUCUUGCACAAUGGGCGAAAGCCUGAUGCAGCGACGCCGCGUGCGGGAAGAAGGCC
RNAcentral lists this ribosomal RNA (377 nucleotides) under uncultured Chloroflexota bacterium. RNAcentral describes it as "bacterial SSU rRNA". It matches the Rfam family "Bacterial small subunit ribosomal RNA", at positions 28 to 416 of the family's 1533-position model. Lineage: Bacteria; Bacillati; Chloroflexota. The record is from RNAcentral.